AGUGAGGAAUAUUGCACAAUGGGGGAAACCCUGAUGCAGCAACGCCGCGUGGAGGAUGACGCAUUUCGGUGUGUAAACUCCUUUUAUAUGUCAAGAAAAUGACGGUAGCAUAUGAAUAAGCACCGGCUAACUCCGUGCCAGCAGCCGCGGUAAUACGGAGGGUGCAAGCGUUACUCGGAAUCACUGGGCGUAAAGGACGCGUAGGCGGGUUGGAAAGUCAGAUGUGAAAUCCUACAGCUUAACUGUAGAACUGCAUUUGAAACUUCUAAUCUAGAGUAUGGGAGGGGGAGAUGGAAUUAGUGGUGUAGGGGUAAAAUCCGUAGAUAUCACUAGGAAUACCGAAAGCGAAGGCGAUCUCCUGGAACAUAACUGACGCUAAGGCGUGAAAGCGUGGGGAGCAAACAGGAUUAGAUACCCUGGUAGUCCACGCCCUAAACGAUGAACACUAGUCGUCGGGAUGCUAGUCAUCUCGGUGAUGCACUUAACAGAUUAAGUGUUCCGCCUGGGGAGUACGGUCGCAAGAUUAAAACUCAAAGGAAUAGACGGGGACCCGCACAAGUGGUGGAGCAUGUGGUUUAAUUCGAAGAUACGCGAAGAACCUUACCUAGCCUUGACAUUGAUUGAACACACUAGAGAUAGAGUGGUGCCCUUCGGGGAACAUGAAAACAGGUGCUGCACGGCUGUCGUCAGCUCGUGUCGUGAGAUGUUGGGUUAAGUCCCGCAACGAGCGCAACCCUCGUCCUUAGUUGCUAGCAGUUCGGCUGAGCACUCUAAGGAGACUGCCUUCGUAAGGAGGAGGAAGGUGAGGACGACGUCAAGUCAUCAUGGCCCUUAUGGCUAGGGCUACACACGUGCUACAAUGGGGCGUACAGAGUGUUGCGAUACCGCGAGGUGGAGCUAAUCACUUAAAGCGUCUCUCAGUUCGGAUUGGAGUCUGCAACUCGACUCCAUGAAGCUGGAAUCACUAGUAAUCGUAGAUCGGCAAUGCUACGGUGAAUACGU
This 1002-nucleotide ribosomal RNA is filed under the name uncultured bacterium. Its description in RNAcentral is "bacterial SSU rRNA". It matches the Rfam family "Bacterial small subunit ribosomal RNA", at positions 353 to 1371 of the family's 1533-position model. The record is from RNAcentral.